CCAAACUCCAUGGAUAAGCCAAAGCGAUAAGAUUUUCUAUUUUUGUAUCUCUAUUUUUUUCUUCUUCCCCUCACUCUCGAUCUCACAAAAAGCUUGGAGUAAGCACCACAAACUAAACUUAACCCUGUGAUAACAUAAACAUUCAUCAAAAUUCUAAUAGUUCUUGCAUAAUUUUAAUUUGCAGGGUAAUUGUAAUGGCGGUCGCAACUAUGAGUUUCAAUUUGGUAGGAGCGUUCAAAGGACUGUCAAUUGGUUCUGGUUCGUCUUCUUCUUUCUUGCGAGGAGAUUUUAGUUCGAUUCACGUCGCGCAGAAAGUUCCCGUGUCGUUUCCGAUGAAAUCGCCGCUGACGAUUGAGUCGGCGCACAAGAAAUAGCUGGAAGCACGAAGAACGGUCGGGAUUCGCCAGACCAAAGGCUUGGAGUUAAAAUCUACGGCGACCAAGUUGCCAAGCCUGGCGCCAUUAUCGUUCGCCAGCGUGGUACGAAGGUUUGAACCUAUACUUUCUCAAAUUCUUAUUUGAAGAGUAAUUUAUUGCGUUUAACAGUGAGUAUCGGAGCUAUAAAUUUGGAAUUUAUAAUUUUGUUUUUAUCAUUUUAUUUGUAAAUUAACAGUCACAUAUAUUAUAAGGGAUGUGGAAUGAUGAUUGAUGUGUGUGAAAUUAUGACUUUGAGAUGAAGUGAGUAGAGAU
This 689-nucleotide long non-coding RNA is filed under the name Olea europaea subsp. europaea. The record is from RNAcentral. Lineage: Eukaryota; Viridiplantae; Streptophyta; Magnoliopsida; Lamiales; Oleaceae.